This 107-nucleotide small nuclear RNA is filed under the name Microcebus murinus (gray mouse lemur). Lineage: Eukaryota; Metazoa; Chordata; Mammalia; Primates; Cheirogaleidae. The record is from RNAcentral.
GUGCUCGCUUCGGCACCACAUAUACUAAAAUUGGAGAGAUACAGAGAAGAUUAGCAUGGUCCCUGUGCAAGGAUGACACGCAAAUUUGUGAAGCAUUCCAUAUUUUU